UCAAGCUGGCUGCCUACUGUAUUUUUCUGGAAUCCAACAUGCUGUUGUGCUCGGUGCUACUUCUCCUUGCAAUCACAGGAGUCGUUGAUGGGAAUGACAUUUCUUCAGAGAUGGCUGCUGAUGUGUCUGUUGUGGAGGGAUCUCACAUGACUCUUUCCUGCAAUUACUCCUACAUCGGGUUAGCCACCCUGUUCUGGUAUCAGCAGGUCCCAAAAUCAUCACCUGAACAUCUGAUGACCAUUGUCAGUGAGGAGAAAAAUGAGACAUCGGGCAUAUAUCCUCAUAUGUCUGGGAGAAAGACUAAGAGCAAAGUGUUUCUGGAUAUUUCCCCUGUUAAAGCCUCAGACUCUGCUCUCUACUACUGCGCCCUGAGGCCCACAGUGAGGAUUAAUUCACACAGCACAGUGCAAAAACCUCACUUCCUCUAGUAAAUUUAACUUAGUCUUCUCCCU
Engraulis encrasicolus (European anchovy) is the source of this 452-nucleotide non-coding RNA. The record is from the annotation of a RefSeq genome assembly. NCBI's taxonomy places the organism in Eukaryota, Metazoa, Chordata, Actinopteri, Clupeiformes, Engraulidae.